This 373-nucleotide ribosomal RNA is filed under the name uncultured organism. Its description in RNAcentral is "partial 16S ribosomal RNA". It matches the Rfam family "Bacterial small subunit ribosomal RNA", at positions 527 to 896 of the family's 1533-position model. The record is from RNAcentral.
GUAGGUGGCAAGCGUUGUCCGGAAUUAUUGGGCGUAAAGCGCGCGCAGGCGGUUCUUUAAGUCUGAUGUGAAAGCCCACGGCUCAACCGUGGAGGGUCAUUGGAAACUGGAGAACUUGAGUACAGAAGAGGAAAGCGGAAUUCCACGUGUAGCGGUGAAAUGCGUAGAGAUGUGGAGGAACACCAGUGGCGAAGGCGGCUUUCUGGUCUGUAACUGACGCUGAGGCGCGAAAGCGUGGGGAGCAAACAGGGAUUAGAUACCCUGGUAGUCCACGCCGUAAACGAUGCGUGCUAAGUGUUAGGGGGUUUCCGCCCCCUUAGUGCUGCAGCUAACGCAUUAAGCACUCCGCCUGGGGAGUACGGCCGCAAGGCUG